AGUGAACGCUGGCGGCAGGCCUAACACAUGCAAGUCGAACGGCAGCACAGUAAGAGCUUGCUCUUACGGGUGGCGAGUGGCGGACGGGUGAGGUAUACAUCGGAAACUACUUUUUCGUGGGGGAUAAUGUAGGGAAACUUACGCUAAUACCGCAUACGACCUACGGGUGAAAGCAGGGGAUCUUCGGACCUUGCGCGAUUGAAUGAGCCGAUGUCGGACUACCUAGUUGGCGGGGUAAAGGCUCACCAAGGCGACGAUCCGUAGCUGGUCUGAGAGGAUGAUCAGCCACACUGUAACUGAGACACGGCCCAGACUCCUACGGUAGGCCGCAGUGCGGAAUCUUGCGCGAUGCGCGCGUGCCUGAUCCUGCCAUACCGCGUAGGUGCAGAAGGCCUUCGGGUUGUAGAACCCUUUUGUUGGUAGAGAAGAACAGCUCUUUAAUACCCCGCUGUACUGACGGUACCCAAAGAAUAAGCCCCGGCUAACUUCGUG
RNAcentral lists this ribosomal RNA (492 nucleotides) under uncultured bacterium. RNAcentral's name for it is "partial 16S ribosomal RNA". It matches the Rfam family "Bacterial small subunit ribosomal RNA", at positions 29 to 507 of the family's 1533-position model. The record is from RNAcentral.